GUCCGUUCAACCUUCUUUGAAGGUCGCAUGAAACCACAGCAUGGAACGGGGUUGUGGU
This 58-nucleotide non-coding RNA is filed under the name unclassified sequences. The record is from Rfam.